UAGUGGCGAACGGGUGAGUAACACGUGGGCAAUCUGCCCUUCACUCUGGGACAAGCCCUGGAAACGGGGUCUAAUACCGGAUAUCACUCCUGCAGGCAUCUGCGGGAGUUGAAAGCUCCGGCGGUGAAGGAUGAGCCCGCGGCCUAUCAGCUUGUUGGUGAGGUAAUGGCUCACCAAGGCGACGACGGGUAGCCGGCCUGAGAGGGCGACCGGCCACACUGGGACUGAGACACGGCCCAGACUCCUACGGGAGGCAGCAGUGGGGAAUAUUGCACAAUGGGCGAAAGCCUGAUGCAGCGACGCCGCGUGAGGGAUGACGGCCUUCGGGUUGUAAACCUCUUUCAGCAGGGAAGAAGCGAAAGUGACGGUACCUGCAGAAGAAGCGCCGGCUAACUACGUGCCAGCAGCCGCGGUAAUACGUAGGGCGCAAGCGUUGUCCGGAAUUAUUGGGCGUAAAGAGCUCGUAGGCGGCUUGUCACGUCGGGUGUGAAAGCCCGGGGCUUAACCCCGGGUCUGCAUUCGAUACGGGCUAGCUAGAGUGUGGUAGGGGAGAUCGGAAUUCCU
RNAcentral lists this ribosomal RNA (564 nucleotides) under Streptomyces sp. 411B05. Its description in RNAcentral is "bacterial SSU rRNA". It matches the Rfam family "Bacterial small subunit ribosomal RNA", at positions 93 to 671 of the family's 1533-position model. Lineage: Bacteria; Bacillati; Actinomycetota; Actinomycetes; Kitasatosporales; Streptomycetaceae. The record is from RNAcentral. RNAcentral also lists the same sequence under 9 other names.